This is a long non-coding RNA of Clupea harengus (Atlantic herring), 901 nucleotides long. The record is from Ensembl. NCBI's taxonomy places the organism in Eukaryota, Metazoa, Chordata, Actinopteri, Clupeiformes, Clupeidae.
CGGAAAAUCCAAACUUUUACUGAGGCCAAUUAACGAUCGACAUCGGUCCAGUAGGCUUACGGAGUUAGAACGCUAUAACUAACUAAACGCAAAAUGGCUAUACAAUGUAGGCCUACCACCAUGGCGCAAGCAUCUACGUCAAAGUAAACCGCUUGUUUUCCCACUGACGGACUCAUCAUGUUAUAAGUGUCUGACCACAUGGAAAGGCCAACGUUUUUAGCCAUACUGUUCCCAAAAAAUGUAUAUGGCAAGCAACAAGCUUCACAUUUAUAUAGAAUUUCUUACAAAGUAUUUUAAUGAACUGUUGCAUUUCCCUAAAAACAUCUACACUGUACACAUUCAACAGCUAGCCAUGAGGUUAAAGUGCUAAAACCAGUUAGAAACAUGUUCUAUAUACAGCACAAUAAGAGAUCCAUAUGCUGCUCCACAUGGGGACAGAAAACACAGGACGGAGGUGUGUGUGUGUACUUUGGAAACACAUGACGGAGGUGUGUGUGUGUGUACUUUGGAAACACAGGACGGAGGUGUGUGUGUGUACUUUGGAAACACAGGACGGAGGUGUGUGUGUGUGCUUUGGAAACACAUGACGGAGGUGUGUGUGUGUACUUUGGAAACUGAAGGCAAGAAGAAGGCCCUGGAGAAGCAGGAGAGCAGAGCGCCAAACCGUCUCCAUGGAGACGUCCUCCCACGGAGGAGGGAGGGACCACCUGGGCUGAGUUUGGUUAAAAGGCUGCAUCAGUGUGUGUGUGUGUGUGUGUGUGUGUGUGUUUGAAACCAUGCUGACGGUAAACGGAGCAACUGGCUGCUAGGAGACUGUGGAACGGAUCUGGAGGGGAUUGGGCCGUGACGAGGAGGCGGGCGGGUCUUGGUCUUGGUCUCGACUCGUCCGGCGAUUCUAACU